Ribosomal RNA from Gorilla gorilla gorilla (western lowland gorilla), 91 nucleotides. NCBI's taxonomy places the organism in Eukaryota, Metazoa, Chordata, Mammalia, Primates, Hominidae. The record is from Ensembl.
GUCUCCAGCCAUACCACCCUGAAUGCACCCAAUCUUGCCGAUCUCAGAAGUUAAUCAGUGUUGGGUCUGAUUAGUCCUUGGGUGGGAGAAA